AUGGAGGGGAGCAAGGACAUGCAAGAGUCAAACACUGAACCUGUUGUCAAAGUACCCAGAGAGCCUGCCAUCAUUAUCAAUGGUGUCCCAGACUUGCCUCCUGAAUUCACAUCUGGCUCACAACUUGCAGUAAGAGAGGCUCCGCGAUCUCGAGUCGAUCAUCACUUUGGUGAAUGGCUAGAAGAGCGGAAAGUGAGAAAGCGGUUUGGAGACAUAUACUAUGUAGGGAAAGUUGUCAAGUAUGACAGCCAAAGAAAUUGGUACACCGUUGUCUAUGUAGAUGGAGACCAGGAAGAUCUUGAGUGGCACGAACUGGAGGAGAUCCUGCUACCAUUGGACAUAACCAUUCCACUCAACACACUUGUGAUGGACAAAUUCAAACAUCAAAAUGCUGUUCCCGACUACAGAAGUAAGGUGGCUAGACAAAGAACUAAUAAUGUUGCUAGCAACCAGAUGGUGGUCAGAGCGGAAAAUGGCCAACAGUCAAACAACCUACCACUCCCAGGGUUGCUUCAGGCGUCAGCAUCAGCAGGAGAAAAUGCUCUAGUAUGUCUGAAACCUAGCGAUCAACCUAAGAAAAGGGGCAGGCCUCGAAAAGAUAGAAGUACAUCAGGUGAGCUUUCAAAACAAGGAAGUACAUCAGGUGAUAUUCAACCUAAAAAAAGAGGCAGGCCUCCAAAAGAACCUGGAGAGAAGAGUAUCGAUAGGCGCAAGUUAGAGACUGUCAGGGCAGAAAAACUGAAGAGAGAAAGCAUGCUUCUGCGAGGGCCACAACCUGGAAGUCAGUAA
This 789-nucleotide ribosomal RNA is filed under the name Triticum aestivum (bread wheat). RNAcentral describes it as "partial small subunit ribosomal RNA". The record is from RNAcentral. Lineage: Eukaryota; Viridiplantae; Streptophyta; Magnoliopsida; Poales; Poaceae.